AUUGAACGCUGGCGGCAUAGCCUUACACAUGCAAGUCGAACGGCAGCACGGGAGCAAUCCUGGUGGCGAGUGGCGAACGGGUGAGUAAUAUAUCGGAACGUGCCCGGUCGUGGGGGAUAACGUAGCGAAAGCUACGCUAAUACCGCAUACGAUCUACGGGAUGAAAGCGGGGGGAUCGCAAGACCUCGCGCGAUUGGAGCGGCCGAUAUCAGAUUAGGUAGUUGGUGAGGUAAAGGGCUCACCAAGCCGACGAUCUGUAGCUGGUCUGAGAGGACGACCAGCCACACUGGGACUGAGACACGGCCCAGACUCCACGGGAGGCAGCAGUGGGGAAUUUUGGACAAUGGGGCGCAAGCCUGAUCCAGCAAUGCCGCGUGAGUGAUGAAGGCC
This 390-nucleotide ribosomal RNA is filed under the name uncultured bacterium. RNAcentral's name for it is "bacterial SSU rRNA". It matches the Rfam family "Bacterial small subunit ribosomal RNA", at positions 29 to 416 of the family's 1533-position model. The record is from RNAcentral.